This 253-nucleotide ribosomal RNA is filed under the name uncultured bacterium. Its description in RNAcentral is "partial 16S ribosomal RNA". It matches the Rfam family "Bacterial small subunit ribosomal RNA", at positions 524 to 776 of the family's 1533-position model. The record is from RNAcentral.
UACGAAGGGGGCUAGCGUUGUUCGGAAUUACUGGGCGUAAAGGGCGCGUAGGCGGUGUGUCAAGUCAGGCGUGAAAUCCCCGGGCUCAACCCGGGAACUGCGUCCGAUACUGGAAGGCUUGAAUCCGGGAGAGGGAUGCGGAAUUCCAGGUGUAGCGGUGAAAUGCGUAGAUAUGCGGAGGAACACCGAUGGCGAAGGCAAUCCCCUGGGCCUGCACUGACGCUCAUGCACGAAAGCGUGGGGAGCAAACAGG